AGGAGUCUGAGCAGUGGAAUCCCCUAACUGAGUCUGUUGUAACAAGCUCAUCAAUUGGUCAUAUUGUUGUCUGCUCAACCUUGGUAUCACAGAACUCUGGCCAUCUAAGUUUGUAACAGGGUGAUGGCAUUCACGAGGAUUUUCUUGGGGAACAGACACAUUUCCUUCAGAAGAAGGGAAAUCCACACUAGCAGUUAGAUGAGCAGCAGCAGGUCUCCUCCCCUUAUUAAAUGUUGUACUUUGUGGAUACCCAUGAAUCUUGAAACACUUAUCAAUUAAGUGCCCAGA
RNAcentral lists this long non-coding RNA (288 nucleotides) under Nicotiana benthamiana. RNAcentral's name for it is "long non-coding RNA (NBEN_LNC018328)". Lineage: Eukaryota; Viridiplantae; Streptophyta; Magnoliopsida; Solanales; Solanaceae. The record is from RNAcentral.